This 111-nucleotide transfer RNA is filed under the name Nanobdellota archaeon. Its description in RNAcentral is "tRNA-Ala". It matches the Rfam family "tRNA". Rfam says of the family: Transfer RNA (tRNA) molecules are approximately 80 nucleotides in length. Lineage: Archaea; Nanobdellati; Nanobdellota. The record is from RNAcentral.
GGGCCUGUAGAUCAGUUGGUAGAUCGCCCGCUUUGCAAGCGGGAGGCCGUGGGUUCGAAUGCACUGCUGUCGCAGGCACAAUCAGCAGAGCUGAAUAUCCCACCGGGUCCA